This is a long non-coding RNA of Colius striatus (speckled mousebird), 3192 nucleotides long. RefSeq lists it as uncharacterized. The record is from RefSeq and is a predicted model, not a curated record. NCBI's taxonomy places the organism in Eukaryota, Metazoa, Chordata, Aves, Coliiformes, Coliidae. The transcript has 10 exons.
AGCCAAAGCAUUACUUUAAUGGAAGAAGUGAUCAAAUUAGCCCAAGAAAGCUAUGACAGAUGCCAUGGCCACCGAGCAGUUUACAAUUUGCUACCAUGGAAAGAGCAGAGAGGAAAGCUCAAGUCCUCAGUCAGAAUUUACCAGAACGCUGGAAUCCUGCUAUUACUGCAGUUCUGUUGGUUUCAUGGCUGAAUUUGCAAGUGGAAAUUUAAAAGUGCAUCAAAAAACCCCAACCCUGUCGUACCCAGACCAUCCUGGAUAAGCAAGAGAUACUGCAGCCAGCACUUGCUCCUGUCGCUAGACCAUUUCACAGCCUAUUGCAUUUGCUGAUUUAACAUCCUCCUACAAGGCUUCCGUGUGCUCGGGAAAAAAAAGGGAAGAGAAAAGGUUAUAUGUGCAGAUGGUAAACUGCUAAAAUGCCCAGAAGGUUCAAACUCAUCUGUGCUUGUGAAGACAAGGGAGACUUUCCCAUCGGCUGACUCCCAGGUGUUUGGAGCGCUGCGAGUCAGAGGCAGGCUCGGCAGCGCCGCGUCGCUGGAGCAGAUGCCCGAGGUGGUGCGGUGGGAACACGCAGGCUCCCUUCCUCCUGAUGUCCAAGCGGCUGAGAACGUUCGGAGCGCUCCAAGGAGCAAGGAGAUGCUGAACCAGGGAGUGACCGUUCUGGCUUGAGAGAGCGGCCGUUGGCUGGCGUACCCUUGAUGGCUGUGCUGAUGUGGCUCAGCGCUUGCCCUGGCUGCAGCCCCACGAAGCUGCCACCGCGUCCACCUCCACGCCCGAGGGAUGCGAGCCCUGCCAGGAUGCUGCGUUUACCGCGAAGGCACGGCGGCUGCACCCACACGGAGCCCGCAGACAGCGCCGAGGGACCCGCGGCCGUGCUUGAGCUGUCAACCACAGAUCUCAUCUAAAAUGUGUUGGCAACGAGGAAACAGUUGUACUUGGCGAGACGAGGAAAUAUUAGCAGAGAAGACGGGCACAGCAUCAAGACACGCAAGUUCAAGUGAUGUUCUGCAGAACCAAAACCAGACCCUUUCUGUGUCCACUGAUGGAGCCAGGCUCUUGUCAAUGAUGUCCAACGACAGGACAAGGGGCAACGGGCACAAGCUGGAACAGAAGAGGUUCCAAAGCAACACGAGGAAAAACUUCUUCCCUGUUGAGUUCCAGGAAAAAUGUCAACCAAACAGCUGUCUCAACAACCCCAUUUAAGGAGCUGCUCAAGAUGGAAGCUGUGUGAGUAAAAAAGCCUCCUGAAGCCAUAAAAGCAGCACUCUGGAUCUUAAGGUAAGAAAGCUCCAAAUUGCUGGGACACGUCACAACUUGUCAGUUUCUUAGCAGGUGCUUCUAAAUCGGGACUAGGAACAAAAGAAAAAGAUCACAACCUUUGAAAGGAAGUGGUGUGAUGGAACUGUGCAGAGAAGGGACAGAAAAACGUGUGCCAGAGGACUGGGGCUCCUAGCAUCUUCAGGAGGAUGCAGCCAACGCAGCAGGUCGCAAGCAGCCCACGUCAGUGGUUUGUCAUUGAUUUGAGGCACGUGGGACCAGGAAAACUUUUGCAGUGGUUCUCUGAGGCAACGUUUUAGUCAAGGAAAAGUUCCAGUCCAAGCUGGAAUUUGUUUCCCCUCUCUGGUGCAGGAGGAGCAGGCAGAGGCACAAAAGAAAUCUUCACCAUUGCUGGUAGCUGGAGAAGGAUGGCUGACCCUAUGGAACAGGAGGAAACUGCAGCUCCUGAAAGCAUCUUUCCAUCUCCGAGUGUCUCUUGGGACAGUGACACCAUGCAGUCACUAGCCCCAGGACAGUCAUGCCAGCCCUUAAACAUGGCACACUUACAAAGGACACACCAUGGGGCUACACAAAGUACUCUGCAACAAAGUUGGUAAGAUCCCCUGGAACCUUCAUUCCUCCAGGCUGAACAGUCCCAGGUGCUCACGCUCUCCUUGGAUGUCAGCUGCUCCACAUCCUUGGUCAUCUUUGGGAUCCUCUGCUGGAUCUGCUCCUGUAAGUUCAAGUCUCACCUGUACUGGGGAGCCCAGCACCAAACCUAGCACUCCAGGACAUGUCCCACCAGUGCUGAGCAGAUGAGAAAGAUUACUGCCCUCGACCUGCUGGAGAUGCUCUGCCUCCUGCAGCCCAUUCUCUUGUUAAAGUCUACCAGAUUGGCUAAACAUGCAACAACUUCUGUGACCUCGCUGGCUUGAUAGGAAAAAAGCUGAGUUACUUCUAAGGGAUCAUUUCUUUAAAGCUAUCUGACCUCCUGAUCACAAAAUAGCCCAGAGCAGACUAUAUGGAGUUCCCCAUGUCCCUUUGUUGUCCUCACCAAUGUGUCCUGAGCCCGGAGUCGUUCUUGCUCUGCGUGUCAUUUGCAUGGUUUGUUAUGAUGAUGAUUAAUGUUCCAAUCCUGAGCUGAUCUGUGUGGGCAUUUAUUCAUGUAACAUGCCUUGCUUGCCUGGUUAAUUCCUAGAAUGGGGUUUCAAGUACAUCUGGUCAAAACUGGCUUUCAGCAAGUAUUGAUAUUUGGCAAAAAGCACAGUAAUUCACAUACAUCACAACUUUGGGGGUUUUGACUGGAAAACUCAGGGAAACUAAGACACAAACUGAAGACAUUCACUUAAAGUGAGAGCUAACAUCACCAAAAGUCCUGAAAUUAUGAUGGAAGUCAAAUAUUUAACACAAAGACUUGAGCUUUCAUUUUGCUGUCAAGCUGCUGUGCAAACCCUGGUGGAAGGAGACCCCUAGAAACUGCAGAUCACUAACGGACCCCAGAGUCACGAGCUGCCCUGCCUCACGCCACUCUGCACGUGGCUGCUUUCCCGAGUUUUUCUUGAACAGAACAUCAACUUCUUUAGGUUGAAUUAGACAGAGAGGAGUAGAAACAUCUUCUGUAUCAUCUCCUUUAAUUCCCGAUGUCUUUGCAACAGCUGUCAGUUUCAGUUUGUUCAUCGAUCACUCAGUUGAGCAAGAGCAAGAAGAUGAAGGACCGCUCACCCCUUGAUGUCGUUAACAAGGCUGUCAGGCUUUGACAGCUUGAAUGAGGGACAUUUCACAAAAUUAUGAGUGAAAUUUUAAAUGUCUCAUUGAGGCAUACGACAAAAUCCUUCCCUGUCAAACCAGCACUUGUAGCUUUUGGGUUUUUUUCCCCUGACUCAGCAGUCUGCUCACAUCAGACCCAUCAGGUUUUUGGAAACAGCUCUCCUUUUU